UAGAGUAAUGCGUGACCAACCUGCCCCAUGCUCCAGAAUAGCUCUUGGAAACGGGUGGUAAUGCUGGAUGCUCCAACUUGACGCAUGUCUUGUUGGGAAAGUGUUUAGUGGCAUGGGAUGGGGUCGCGUCCUAUCAGCUUGUAGGCGGGGUAAUGGCCCACCUAGGCUUCGACGGGUAGCCGGCCUGAGAGGGCGGACGGCCACAUUGGGACUGAGAUACGGCCCACGACUCCUACGGGAGGCAGCAGGC
RNAcentral lists this ribosomal RNA (250 nucleotides) under uncultured Gardnerella sp. RNAcentral describes it as "partial 16S ribosomal RNA". It matches the Rfam family "Bacterial small subunit ribosomal RNA", at positions 107 to 354 of the family's 1533-position model. The record is from RNAcentral. Lineage: Bacteria; Bacillati; Actinomycetota; Actinomycetes; Bifidobacteriales; Bifidobacteriaceae.